RNAcentral lists this ribosomal RNA (413 nucleotides) under uncultured bacterium. RNAcentral describes it as "bacterial SSU rRNA". It matches the Rfam family "Bacterial small subunit ribosomal RNA", at positions 362 to 773 of the family's 1533-position model. The record is from RNAcentral.
UAUUGGGCAAUGGGCGGAAGCCUGACCCAGCCAUGCCGCGUGCAGGAUGAAGGCCUUCUGGGUUGUAAACUGCUUUUACCAGGGAAGAAAACACCCAUGCGUGGGGAACUGACGGUACCACCCGAAUAAGCCACGGCUAACUACGUGCCAGCAGCCGCGGUAAUACGUAGGUGGCGAGCGUUGUCCGGAUUUAUUGGGCGUAAAGCGCGCGCAGGCGGUCCGUUACGUCCGUUGUGAAAGCUCCCGGCUCAACUGGGAGAGGUCUUCGGAUACGGGCGGACUCGAGGAAGGUAGAGGAAGGUGGAAUUCCCGGUGUAGUGGUGAAAUGCGUAGAGAUCGGGAGGAACACCAGUGGCGAAGGCGGCCUUCUGGGCCUUUCCUGACGCUGAGGCGCGAAAGCGUGGGGAGCGAAC